AACGUUUCCCCGGAAAUUUCCGUACCAUUUAUCCCCGUUCCAAAAUUUUCGGAAUUUUUGGUUGAAUGAAAAGCGCCUUUAGUUUCGGAUUUGAAAGAAUACGGAAUGCUUACACAGUAAGAAUUCAUUUUUUCUACAAGAGGUACAACCCAUUUCUUCUCAAUGUGACCACCUUACACAAAAAAUUAACCUCAAAAAUCUCCAAUCAAAAACAGCCGUUUACAUAUUUUCCAAAUAGAACUUAAAUAGAACGAAAUACUAAUCACUCAUAAAACAUAACAGAGAGUCUUUAAUAAAAGUAUGCGACGACCAAUCAAUCCUAACUCAAUUCACACACGACGCAAUAGCUUAUCUUGUACUAAAUCUAAUUAUUAAUUAAUGGCCAUGAACACGAGGUCGCUUCUUUCAAAGAAAAAGGAAAUUGUAAUCAGUUUUCAACAAUAUUGUUGGUAUUAACCUCGAGUCUUGAUGAUUCCAUAAAAAUUCUCUAUUUAGCGACGGAUCUUUAGCAGAUCAUUACUUUGAAAGAUCACAAUCUGAAGAACGUUCACCAACGAACAUGGAGCUGGAGACUGCAAGAGGAGGCGUUCAUACCACAAAUGGGGUGAGUUCCAAACAACCACGACGCACACAGGUCUAACAGUACUGUAUCUGCUUGCCCGUGUCCAACAUUUUUGCCGAUAUAAGCAUGUUACAUUUGGAAUAUUCAGGCUCGAAAAGUGGUAGAAAACUCGAGUUCCUUGUGUAAUCACUGCAUUAUCAUGCAUACACGUAACAAAAAGCACUGAGCUGUUCCAAAGACAUUGUGAAUUCUGGAUACAUAACAAAUCCCCUUUGUUCACAAGCCCUGCUUGGAGCAGGGCACUUGAAUGUUCUCUGUUCAAUACCAGAAUGAAUUAACUUGAGAUGUUAGCGACUAAGCCCUAGUUCACACGAGCGACAUGACAUCAUAACGACAUAAACAGUGUUAUGUUUGCAAUGUGAACAUCCUGAACAUAAUGACAUAAUAGCAUGAACAUAACGGCAUAGGGACAAAAAGCUGCUCUUUUCCUUAUGUCUUUAUACCGAUGUUCACUUUAGCGACAUAAGCGAGCAUAAGCGAUUAUGUCGUUAUGCCAUUAUGUCAUUACAUGUAUGUCGUUAUGUCGCUAGUGUGAACCAGGCCUAACUUUCAUUGAAACUCAAUUUCAGGAAAAACGGUCCACAAACAGCGUCACAAAGAAAAAGGUGAGACUUUCUUGUAACUUGUUUGGCUAAAUGAUACUACAGACUAGCUGCUCUAUAACAAACUAAUGCUAUACCAAGGGGUAUUAGAGUGGUUUUUAAAUGAGCAUCGUAAGACCAAAACCAAACCAAUUUCUUACCAAUCAGACUACUCAGCCAAUCUCAACCUGUAGUAAAACCAAAACCAAAACCAAAGUAAUUGUCUAAUUACUUUUGACACUCAAUUGAAAAUCGACUCACAAUGCCUAUAACUCCUCUAGCUAGUGUGAGUUUGGAGACUGAAAAUAUAUACAUUUUGCAACAGGUCAGGUGAACAUUUAAAUUGGUAUAAUUGUCCUUUUCACAGCUCAGUGUUACACUGACGCCAUCAUCCAAACAAAUGACGUUUUCCAAAAUAGUAUAUAACAUCUUGACAUACAAUGCCUCUGAUGUCACACUAACAAAGUAUUGCUCCACGUUUGCAAUAUCUUUCAUUGGAUCAAUAUUUUUGGCAACUGCCAGAUGAUUGCUUUGCGCGAAGCACAAGUCUCAGGGUAGCAUUUAAAUGUUGUUAAGUAAAGUGGUCUAACUCUGCAAACCUACUUAAUUAUCUAGGAUAUAUUUUUUAUCAUUUUGUACUGUAGUCAAGUAGUCUAGGUUUGAAAAAGUUCAGAAAACUCUAGAUAACACGAGAAACCUUCCCAUUACAUUUUCUGUCCCGGUAAUCUUGAAGUUGUACAUUUAUUUGACUUGCAAAUAAAACAAGUCAACUGGGCUGAAGUCUAUUAUAGAGAAACAAGUAAACAAAAUGGGCAAACAC
Molecule: unclassified non-coding RNA, 2023 nt
Filed under: Orbicella faveolata
Lineage: Eukaryota; Metazoa; Cnidaria; Anthozoa; Scleractinia; Merulinidae
Description: uncharacterized LOC110051660, transcript variant X2
Source: RNAcentral